AUUGAACGCUGGCGGCAGGCUUAACACAUGCAAGUCGAGCGGGGGAAGGUAGCUUGCUACCGGACCUAGCGGCGGACGGGUGAGUAAUGCUUAGGAAUCUGCCUAUUAGUGGGGGACAACAUCUCGAAAGGGAUGCUAAUACCGCAUACGUCCUACGGGAGAAAGCAGGGGAUCUUCGGACCUUGCGCUAAUAGAUGAGCCUAAGUCGGAUUAGCUAGUUGGUGGGGUAAAGGCCUACCAAGGCGACGAUCUGUAGCGGGUCUGAGAGGAUGAUCCGCCACCCUGGGACUGAGACACGGCCCAGACUCCUACGGGAGGCAGCAGUGGGGAAUAUUUGACCAUGGGGGGAACCCUGAUCCAGCCAUGCCGCGUGUGUGAAGAAGGCCUUAUGGUUGUAAAGCACUUUAAGCGAGGAGGAGGCUACUUUAGUUAAUACCUAGAGAUAGUGGACGUUACUCGCAGAAUAAGCACCGGCUAACUCUGUG
RNAcentral lists this ribosomal RNA (485 nucleotides) under uncultured bacterium. RNAcentral describes it as "partial 16S ribosomal RNA". It matches the Rfam family "Bacterial small subunit ribosomal RNA", at positions 30 to 507 of the family's 1533-position model. The record is from RNAcentral.